AUUGAACGCUGGCGGCAGGCUUAACACAUGCAAGUCGAGCGGGGGAAGGUAGUUUGCUACUGGACCUAGCGGCGGACGGGUGAGUAAUGCUUAGGAAUCUGCCUAUUAGUGGGGGACAACAUCUCGAAAGGGAUGCUAAUACCGCAUACGUCCUACGGGAGAAAGCAGGGGAUCUUCGGACCUUGCGCUAAUAGAUGAGCCUAAGUCGGAUUAGCUAGUUGGUGGGGUAAAGGCCUACCAAGGCGACGAUCUGUAGCGGGUCUGAGAGGAUGGUCCGCCACACUGGGACUGAGACACGGCCCAGACUCCUACGGGAGGCAGCAGUGGGGAAUAUUGGACAAUGGGGGGAACCCUGAUCCAGCCAUGCCGCGUGUGUGAAGAAGGCCUUAUGGUUGUAAAGCACUUUAAGCGAGGAGGAGGCUACUCUAGUUAAUACCUAGGGAUAGUGGACGUUACUCGCAGAAUAAGCACCGGCUAACUCUGUGCCAGCAGCCGCAGUAA
RNAcentral lists this ribosomal RNA (501 nucleotides) under uncultured bacterium. RNAcentral's name for it is "partial 16S ribosomal RNA". It matches the Rfam family "Bacterial small subunit ribosomal RNA", at positions 30 to 523 of the family's 1533-position model. The record is from RNAcentral.